This 275-nucleotide ribosomal RNA is filed under the name uncultured bacterium. Its description in RNAcentral is "partial 16S ribosomal RNA". It matches the Rfam family "Bacterial small subunit ribosomal RNA", at positions 338 to 612 of the family's 1533-position model. The record is from RNAcentral.
CCUACGGGGGGCUGCAGUGGGGAAUAUUGGGCAAUGGGCGCAAGCCUGACCCAGCCAUGCCGCGUGCGGGACGAAGGCGCACAGCGUUGUAAACCGCUUUUCUACGGGGAUAAGGCGCUCUUCGGGAGCGAUUGAAGGUACUGUAGGAAUCAGCACCGGCAAACUACGUGCCAGCAGCCGCGGUAAUACGUAGGGUGCAAGCGUUGUCCGGAUUUACUGGGUUUAAAGGGUGCGUAGGCGGGCUGUUAAGUCUGGGAUGAAAUUAUCUCGCUCAA